UACGGAGGGGGCGAGCGUUAUUCGGAAUUAUUGGGCGUAAAGGGCGCGUAGGCGGCCUGAUAAGUCAAAGGUGAAAUCCCUCGGCUCAACUGAGGAAUUGCCUUUGAAACUGUCAGGCUUGAGGCCGGGAGGGGGUGGCGGAAUUCCCAGUGUAGCGGUGAAAUGCGUAGAUAUUGGGAAGAACACCGGUGGCGAAGGCGGCUCUCUGGACCGUAACUGACGCUGAGGCGCGAAAGCGUGGGGAGCAAACAGG
Molecule: ribosomal RNA, 253 nt
Filed under: uncultured bacterium
Lineage: Bacteria
Description: partial 16S ribosomal RNA
Rfam family: Bacterial small subunit ribosomal RNA
Source: RNAcentral